Eriocheir sinensis (Chinese mitten crab) is the source of this 2361-nucleotide RNA transcript. RefSeq lists it as uncharacterized. The record is from RefSeq and is a predicted model, not a curated record. The transcript is spliced from 10 exons. Lineage: Eukaryota; Metazoa; Arthropoda; Malacostraca; Decapoda; Varunidae.
UAUAAACAAAAGGGUUGCCACUCCUCGCCAUGGCAUUUUAUCUAACUAGCUUCAAAAGGUGUCUAACUCCCCCCAUAAAACACUAAGAAUUAAUAAUAGAAUGAAAUACGAGUACUAGAAAUCUUAAAUUCCGGUAAAUUAAAGGAAAUGCAAGUCGGAUGUUCAAUGACACUUCAGGUUAGAUAAUGAUUUACUCAGAUAUAAACUUUUUAGUACACGUAUUUCAUCUCUUUAUUAUUUCUAAGUGCUUCAUGGUGGCGGUGAAAGGAAAAAUAGAGAAAUUAAAGCAGAGAAAUGAACUAAAUAUCCCAAUAAUGACAUCCCGUUGCAUAAGCUUCAGCUCCUUUUGUCAACACCUGAGCUCAGCAGUCAGCAUCUCUUAUCUCCUGAGCAUCUUGAGGUUGAUGCUGACACUUCUGAGGGAGCGGAAUCUUGGACAGUGAAGCAGGAGGUGUUGUGCAUCUUCAUCUCCUGAGCUCAGCAUCUUCAUCUCCUGAGCUCAGCAUCUUUAUCUUCUGAGCUCAGCAUUUACAUCUUCUGAGCUCAGCAUCAUCUACAUCUUCUGAGCUCAGCAUCCUCUUCAUAUUCAGAGCUCAGCAUCUUCACCAUCUUCUGAGCUCAGCAUCGUCUUCGUCUCCUGAGCUCAGCAUCAUUUUUGCCUUCUGAGCUCAGCAUCAUCAUCAUCUUCUGAGCUCAGCAUCUUCAUCUUCUGAGCUUAGCAUCAUCCACAUUCUGAGGAACAUGGAAGAGGUUGUCAUCAGUGCCAGCGUUAACCUCACGAGACGAGCCACCCCCUAAUGAGCCCAGCCUCCCUUGCCCCUUAAGAAAUCAUUCGGUCAUGGCGAGUCAGAAGGAGAAGCCACAUCAGCACGUGGCUGGGACAUGUAUGGGGAUGUGUCCUAACGCUGAGGUGCGGCUGCGGCAAAGAGAGAAGAUGAUUCACGCCCUCGAGAUGGCGGUUGACUUUAAUGGCCGUCGCCUGAACUACCCUCAACCCCGGGCCAUGGUCAAGAUGUUCUCCCGCCCCGCAGCUGGCCAGGAGGUCAAGGCCUCGGACGUGCGGCCAGUGCCAGUGUUGCUGAAGACCGUCAGAUACCUCCUGGCCAAUGUGUGUUGCGUGAAGGACCUGCCGUGGGCGUUGGUGUACCAGUUCGUGUACGACCGACUGCAGGCCAUCAGACAGGACUUGUGUGUGCAGGGUGUGCGGAACAGCAUGGCCCUGCAGAUCUACCAAGCGGCUGCCAGGUUUUAUGUCUAUGCCCACUAUAGAACCUGUGAACACGACCUGAAGGACUUCGACCCGUACCUGAACCUGAAGCAGCUCGGCGAAACACUGUCCACCGUGAUGUCUCUCUACCAAGAACUGGACUCGGGGAACACGAUUGCAGAGUCCGACCGAGCUAACCUUGAGGCUUACAUAUACGACGACCAGUACGAGGAGAGUGACGAUGAUAGCGACGUUGACAGCAGGGGUGACGAAGGCGCAGAGACAAAGAUUGUGCAGGAUACGAAAGCGAGCGAGAAAGACGCAUCAGCUAAGACAGAAUCCUCCGGGGAAAACGACGAUGGAAAGACGGACUCACAAACCUCAGAGGAUGGAGUUGCUGAGUCAGACAACGCCGAGGAGAACGAAAGAGUGUCUCCAUCCAGAGUUAAAGACACCAGAUGUAGUAGUAACAGUGGGAGUGUGAUAUCAUGCUCUAGUUCGAGAGAGGAAGCAGCAGCCUUGUACUUGCUGGUCAACUUGGGCAAUGAGGAAGCCAUAAUGAGCGUUCUGAGUCUUCCGCAGAAUGUUAAAGGCACCAAACUUGUGGGUCUGGCGCUGAGGAUGAACAUGGCCUGGCUCACCCACAACUACUACAGGGUGCUCAAGCUGUCCACACUCCUGCCACCCUUGUUCCAGUGUGCCUUCCACCCUCACAUGACUUCAAUCCAGAGGAAAUCUCUGGGCAUAAUUAACCAGUCACACAGCUGUAAGGGUCAAUCAUACUGUCUGGAGGAGUUGUCCGAGGCGCUGCUCUACGACAGCGCUGAUGGCCUGGCUGAAGCAUGUGCCCACUAUGGAUUGGCUGUCAAGGAUGGGGGCAUCGUCUUCACUAAAGGAACAAUCAGCUGGGAUGCCCCACUGAUGAAGGCGUCCCAUAGCAAAAGGAUUGAAGGCCACCUUGCCAGUGUUCCCUUACCAGAGCUGCUGCUUCCAACCCUGACAUAGUGGUAGUGUGAGGGAAGGAGUCUGAAGUGUGAUGCGCUGGUCUCAUGUUCUGCCACAACUUGACUAUUUACACAUAAAUAUAAAAUACAACCUCAUCAGCCUUCAGGAAACUUGACCAUCUUCUGGACAGGCCUCACCCCGGGCAGCUC